GUGUCAUGAGGCUGGUCGUGCCACCGGUACGUACUGGUCUCACUGAUUCCUCCUUCCUGAAGAACCGUAAUGCCAUUAAUUUGGUGUUGCGGGGAAACAGGACUGUUACUUUGAAAAAAUUAGAGUGUUUAAAGCAAGCUAACGCUUGAAUACAUUAGCAUGGAAUAAUGAAAUAGGACGAUCGAUCCUAUUUUGUUGGUUUCUAGGAUUGACGUA
Molecule: ribosomal RNA, 216 nt
Filed under: Glomeromycotina sp.
Lineage: Eukaryota; Fungi; Glomeromycota
Description: partial small subunit ribosomal RNA
Rfam family: Eukaryotic small subunit ribosomal RNA (bases 40-216)
Source: RNAcentral